UACGUAGGGUGCAAGCGUUGUCCGGAAUUAUUGGGCGUAAAGGGCUCGUAGGCGGUUUGUCGCGUCGGGAGUGAAAACUCAGGGCUUAACCCUGAGCCUGCUUCCGAUACGGGCAGACUAGAGGUAUGCAGGGGAGAACGGAAUUCCUGGUGUAGCGGUGAAAAUGCGCAGAUAUCAGGAGGAACACCGGUGGCGAAGGCGGUUCUCUGGGCAUUACCUGACGCUGAGGAGCGAAAGUGUGGGGAGCGAACAGG
Molecule: ribosomal RNA, 254 nt
Filed under: uncultured bacterium
Lineage: Bacteria
Description: partial 16S ribosomal RNA
Rfam family: Bacterial small subunit ribosomal RNA
Source: RNAcentral